GGUUAAGCGACUAAGCGUACACGGUGGAUGCCCUGGCAGUCAGAGGCGAUGAAGGGCGUGCUAAUCUGCGAUAAGCGCCGGUAAGGUGAUAUGAACCGUUAUAACCGGCGAUACCCGAAUGGGGAAACCCAGUGUGAUUCGUCACACUAUCAUUAACUGAAUCCAUAGGUUAAUGAGGCGAACCGGGGGAACUGAAACAUCUAAGUACCCCGAGGAAAAGAAAUCAACCGAGAUUCCCCCAGUAGCGGCGAGCGAACGGGGAGGAGCCCAGAGCCUGAAUCAGCAUGUGUGUUAGUGGAAGCGUCUGGAAAGGCGCGCGAUACAGGGUGACAGCCCCGUACACAAAAGCGCAUGUGCUGUGAGCUCGAUGAGUAGGGCGGGACACGUGGUAUCCUGUCUGAAUAUGGGGGGACCAUCCUCCAAGGCUAAAUACUCCUGACUGACCGAUAGUGAACCAGUACCGUGAGGGAAAGGCGAAAAGAACCCCGGCGAGGGGAGUGAAAAAGAACCUGAAACCGUGUACGUACAAGCAGUGGGAGCCCCACCACUAAGCCAGUGGUGAACUCCACAUCCGCAUCCUUUGCUGAGGAUACGGUUAACGGAGCGAAAGCGACGUUCAACCGCAAAACAAGCAGAGGGGGCUUAGUGGUGGGGUGACUGCGUACCUUUUGUAUAAUGGGUCAGCGACUUAUAUUCUGUAGCAAGGUUAACCGAAUAGGGGAGCCGGAGGGAAACCGAGUCUUAAUUGGGCGUUAAGUUGCAGGGUAUAGACCCGAAACCCGGUGAUCUAGCCAUGGGCAGGUUGAAGGUUGGGUAACACUAACUGGAGGACCGAACCGACUAAUGUUGAAAAAUUAGCGGAUGACCUGUGGCUGGGGGUGAAAGGCCAAUCAAACCGGGAGAUAGCUGGUUCUCCCCGAAAGCUAUUUAGGUAGCGCCUCGUGAAUUCAUCUCCGGGGGUAGAGCACUGUUUCGGCUAGGGGGCCAUCCCGGCUUACCAACCCGAUGCAAACUGCGAAUACCGGAGAAUGUUAUCACGGGAGACACACGGCGGGUGCUAACGUCCGUCGUGAAGAGGGAAACAACCCAGACCGCCAGCUAAGGUCCCAAAGUCAUGGUUAAGUGGGAAACGAUGUGGGAAGGCCCAGACAGCCAGGAUGUUGGCUUAGAAGCAGCCAUCAUUUAAAGAAAGCGUAAUAGCUCACUGGUCGAGUCGGCCUGCGCGGAAGAUGUAACGGGGCUAAACCAUGCACCGAAGCUGCGGCAGCGAACGUAUCACCCAAGACAACUUUACGGAGUUGACGAUUGACGGAGCGAAGCGACGUCAAAGCGUUCAUUAAAGUCGAGUUGGCUUAGGGAUACGUUCGUUGGGUAGGGGAGCGUUCUGUAAGCCUGUGAAGGUGUGUCGUGAGGCAUGCUGGAGGUAUCAGAAGUGCGAAUGCUGACAUAAGUAACGAUAAAGCGGGUGAAAAGCCCGCUCGCCGGAAGACCAAGGGUUCCUGUCCAACGUUAAUCGGGGCAGGGUGAGUCGACCCCUAAGGCGAGGCCGAAAGGCGUAGUCGAUGGGAAACGGGUUAAUAUUCCCGUACUUGGUGUUACUGCGAAGGGGGGACGGAGAAGGCUAUGUUGGCCGGGCGACGGUUGUCCCGGUUUAAGCGUGUAGGUGUGUGUUCCAGGUAAAUCCGGUUCACUUUAACACUGAGGCGUGACGACGAGGCACUACGGUGCUGAAGCAACAAAUGCCCUGCUUCCAGGAAAAGCCUCUAAGCAUCAGGUAACACGAAAUCGUACCCCAAACCGACACAGGUGGUCAGGUAGAGAAUACCAAGGCGCUUGAGAGAACUCGGGUGAAGGAACUAGGCAAAAUGGUGCCGUAACUUCGGGAGAAGGCACGCUGACACGUAGGUGAAGUGAUUUACUCAUGGAGCUGAAGUCAGUCGAAGAUACCAGCUGGCUGCAACUGUUUAUUAAAAACACAGCACUGUGCAAACACGAAAGUGGACGUAUACGGUGUGACGCCUGCCCGGUGCCGGAAGGUUAAUUGAUGGGGUCAGCGCAAGCGAAGCUCCUGAUCGAAGCCCCGGUAAACGGCGGCCGUAACUAUAACGGUCCUAAGGUAGCGAAAUUCCUUGUCGGGUAAGUUCCGACCUGCACGAAUGGCGUAAUGAUGGCCAGGCUGUCUCCACCCGAGACUCAGUGAAAUUGAACUCGCUGUGAAGAUGCAGUGUACCCGCGGCAAGACGGAAAGACCCCGUGAACCUUUACUAUAGCUUGACACUGAACAUUGAGCCUUGAUGUGUAGGAUAGGUGGGAGGCUUUGAAGUGUGGACGCCAGUCUGCAUGGAGCCGACCUUGAAAUACCACCCUUUAAUGUUUGAUGUUCUAACGUGGACCCGUAAUCCGGGUUGCGGACAGUGUCUGGUGGGUAGUUUGACUGGGGCGGUCUCCUCCUAAAGAGUAACGGAGGAGCACGAAGGUUGGCUAAUCCUGGUCGGACAUCAGGAGGUUAGUGCAAUGGCAUAAGCCAGCUUGACUGCGAGCGUGACGGCGCGAGCAGGUGCGAAAGCAGGUCAUAGUGAUCCGGUGGUUCUGAAUGGAAGGGCCAUCGCUCAACGGAUAAAAGGUACUCCGGGGAUAACAGGCUGAUACCGCCCAAGAGUUCAUAUCGACGGCGGUGUUUGGCACCUCGAUGUCGGCUCAUCACAUCCUGGGGCUGAAGUAGGUCCCAAGGGUAUGGCUGUUCGCCAUUUAAAGUGGUACGCGAGCUGGGUUUAGAACGUCGUGAGACAGUUCGGUCCCUAUCUGCCGUGGGCGCUGGAGAACUGAGGGGGCUGCUCCUAGUACGAGAGGACCGGAGUGGACGCAUCACUGGUGUUCGGGUUGUCAUGCCAAUGGCACUGCCCGGUAGCUAAAUGCGGAAGAGAUAAGUGCUGAAAGCAUCUAAGCACGAAACUUGCCCCGAGAUGAGUUCUCCCUGAGACUUAGAGUCUCCUGAAGGAACGUUGAAGACGACGACGUUGAUAGGCCGGGUGUGUAAGCGCAGCGAUGCGUUGAGCUAACCGGUACUAAUGAACCGUGAGGCUUAACCUU
RNAcentral lists this ribosomal RNA (3090 nucleotides) under Salmonella enterica subsp. enterica serovar Typhimurium. RNAcentral describes it as "23S ribosomal RNA". It matches the Rfam family "Bacterial large subunit ribosomal RNA". The record is from RNAcentral. Lineage: Bacteria; Pseudomonadati; Pseudomonadota; Gammaproteobacteria; Enterobacterales; Enterobacteriaceae.